RNAcentral lists this ribosomal RNA (510 nucleotides) under uncultured bacterium. Its description in RNAcentral is "partial 16S ribosomal RNA". It matches the Rfam family "Bacterial small subunit ribosomal RNA", at positions 28 to 507 of the family's 1533-position model. The record is from RNAcentral.
GACGAACGCUGGCGGUGUGCUUAACACAUGCAAGUCGAACGAAGAGCGAUGGAAGCUUGCUUCUAUCAAUCUUAGUGGCGAACGGGUGAGUAACGCGUAAUCAACCUGCCCUUUAGAGGGGGACAACAGUUGGAAAAGACUGCUAAUACCGCAUACGAUCUAAUCUCGGCAUCGAGGAUAGAUGAAAGGUGGCCUCUACAUGUUAGCUAUCACUGAAGGAGGGGAUUGCGUCUGAUUAGCUCGUUGGAGGGGUAACGGCCCACCAAGGGGAGGAACAGUAGCCGGGCUGGGAGGAGGAACGGCCACACUGGGACUUAAACACGGGCCAGACUCCUACGGGAGGCAGCAGUGGGGGAACUUCCGCAAUGGAAGAAAGUCUGACUGCGGAACGCCGCGUGAGCGAUGACGGCCUUCGGGUUGUAAAGCUCUGUUAGUCGGGACGAAAGGCCUUCUUGCGAAUAGUGAGAAGGAUUGACGGUACCGGAAUAGUAAGCCACGGCUAACUACGUG